GACGAACGCUGGCGGCGUGCUUAACACAUGCGAGUCGAACGGAAAGGCCCUGCUUUUGUGGGGUGCUCGAGUGGCGAACGGGUGAGUAACACGUGAGUAACCUGCCCUUGACUUUGGGAUAACUUCAGGAAACUGGGGCUAAUACCGGAUAGGAGCUCCUGCUGCAUGGUGGGGGUUGGAAAGUUUCGGCGGUUGGGGAUGGACUCGCGGCUUAUCAGCUUGUUGGUGGGGUAGUGGCUUACCAAGGCUUUGACGGGUAGCCGGCCUGAGAGGGUGACCGGCCACAUUGGGACUGAGAUACGGCCCAGACUCCUACGGGAGGCAGCAGUGGGGAAUAUUGCACAAUGGGCGGAAGCCUGUUGCAGCAACGCCGCGUGCGGGAUGACGGCCUUCGGGUUGUAAACCGCUUUCGCCUGUGACGAAGCGUGAGUGACGGUAAUGGGUAAAGAAGCACCGGCUAACUACG
This 466-nucleotide ribosomal RNA is filed under the name uncultured bacterium. RNAcentral describes it as "partial 16S ribosomal RNA". It matches the Rfam family "Bacterial small subunit ribosomal RNA", at positions 28 to 505 of the family's 1533-position model. The record is from RNAcentral.